CUGGCCGAGUGCACCCGGCAGUCCAGACAACGCAGACACCGGCCUGAGCAAGGGCUCGCUGUACAGUAAGCUUUGUAAUGAAGCAUAACAUCUAGCAAGAGAAACUAGAUCAGAAAGCCAUGGAAUCAAAGUAGGGAAGGUGAUGGACUGAAUGCGGUAAGCUGCCUGAAUGAAGCAAGAAGAUCUUCUUCCCAGGGCUC
Molecule: long non-coding RNA, 200 nt
Organism: Lontra canadensis (Northern American river otter)
Lineage: Eukaryota; Metazoa; Chordata; Mammalia; Carnivora; Mustelidae
Exons: 3
Source: RefSeq, a predicted model, not a curated record